GGACUACACGGGUUUCUAAUCCCGUUCGCUCCCCAUGCUGUCGUGUCUGAGCGUCAGGUACGAGCCAGGGCGCCGCCUUCGCCUCUGGGGUUCCUCCGGAUCUCUACGCAUUUCACCACUACACCCGGAAUUCCACGCCCCUCUCUCGUCCUCCAGAAAAACAGUCUGGCAUAACCCCGCCACGUUAAGCCUGGCGAUUUCAUACACCACUUGUUUCCCCGCCUGCACACCCUUUACGCCCAGUAAAUCCGGAUAACGCUUGCCACCUACGUUUUACCGCGGCUGCUGGCAC
RNAcentral lists this ribosomal RNA (292 nucleotides) under uncultured bacterium. Its description in RNAcentral is "partial 16S ribosomal RNA". The record is from RNAcentral.